This 253-nucleotide ribosomal RNA is filed under the name uncultured bacterium. RNAcentral describes it as "partial 16S ribosomal RNA". It matches the Rfam family "Bacterial small subunit ribosomal RNA", at positions 524 to 776 of the family's 1533-position model. The record is from RNAcentral.
UACGAAGGGGACUAGCGUUGUUCGGAAUCACUGGGCGUAAAGCGCACGUAGGCGGAUUUGUAAGUCAGGGGUGAAAUCCCGGGGCUCAACCUCGGAACUGCCUUUGAUACUGCGAAUCUUGAGUCCGAUAGAGGUGGGUGGAAUUCCUAGUGUAGAGGUGAAAUUCGUAGAUAUUAGGAAGAACACCAGUGGCGAAGGCGGCCCACUGGAUCGGUACUGACGCUGAGGUGCGAAAGCGUGGGGAUCAAACAGG